GUUCAAGUCAAGAGUUAGAGCGGUGGAGUCUACUUUGUUGCUUUGUUUUACUGCAAGAAAGAAAUCUUCCCAUACUGACAUUAGUUUUAAAAGGAGCGCAAACCGUUAAAUAUUCUUUAAAUGAGAGCUGUUGGUGCCAAAAGAGGGCCUCGAAAGUCUCGUAUCUUUGCGUUAGCAAAGGGAUUUAGAGGUCGUGGACGAACUUGCUUUAUAUUAGCCAGGAGGAGAGUUGAAAAAGGGAUGCUUUACCGUUACGUAUCGAGAAAGUUAAAGAAGCGUAACAUCAGGAAGCUCUGGAUUACCCGCAUUGGCGCUGCCUGUCAAGAACAUAAUUUUAAUUAUAGCCGUUUUAUGAACGGACUGGUGAAACAUAACAUCAAGCUUAACAGGAAAGUUUUGUCGGAACUCGCUACUACUGAGCCUCGUAGUUUCAAAACUUUAGCCUUAAUAUGCAAACAAAAAGUGAAUGAAAAAGGGCUGGAAUCUUUGUUUUUAUAGAAGCUGUGUUA
Zophobas morio is the source of this 509-nucleotide long non-coding RNA. RefSeq lists it as uncharacterized. The record is from RefSeq and is a predicted model, not a curated record. Lineage: Eukaryota; Metazoa; Arthropoda; Insecta; Coleoptera; Tenebrionidae. The transcript is spliced from 6 exons.